RNAcentral lists this unclassified non-coding RNA (303 nucleotides) under uncultured fungus. RNAcentral describes it as "sequence contains ITS2". The record is from RNAcentral. Lineage: Eukaryota; Fungi.
AACGCAAAUUGCACUCUCUGGCAUUCCGGAGAGUAUGCCUGUUUGAGGGUCGUUAAGAAAAAAUCAAUCCUGUUGUUGACAUGAUUGGAAUUGAGCCUGUCUUUUGACCUUUCCAGGUCUUACUUAUAAGAGGCUUAAAAUUGAUGGUUAUAAUAAGACUUAUGUUUAAUACGUUAAGUUCAUGUCAUACGUUUUAUUAGGUUGUGGCCAUUAUAAAUCAAAUAAUAGUUGAUGUCGGUUUCAUGACCUAUAAUUCAUUCAUAAAAUGACCUCAAAUCAGGUAGGAACACCCGCUGAACUUAA